AACUUUGAGCGGUGGAUCACUCGGCUCGUGCGUCGAUGAAGAGUGCAGCCAACUGUGUGAAUUAAUGUGAACUGCAUACUGCUUUGAACAUCGACAUCUUGAACGCAUAUUGCGGCUACGGGAUAUCCUGUGGCCACGUCUGCCCGAGGGUCGGC
Molecule: ribosomal RNA, 155 nt
Filed under: Trichobilharzia franki
Lineage: Eukaryota; Metazoa; Platyhelminthes; Trematoda; Strigeidida; Schistosomatidae
Description: 5.8S ribosomal RNA
Rfam family: 5.8S ribosomal RNA
About the family: 5.8S ribosomal RNA (5.8S rRNA) is a component of the large subunit of the eukaryotic ribosome. It is transcribed by RNA polymerase I as part of the 45S precursor that also contains 18S and 28S rRNA.
Source: RNAcentral